UCGACCUUAAGUAAACCUUCACAAUUUUUAAAGCUUAUCUACUUUUAAGAUUUUUUUCUGAAUCACUAUUUGUAUUUUUAUGCUCAUGAAUGUGUUUUUUCAGGCUGUGUCAGCAGAUUUAGUUGUACUUGGGUGUGUGUCUGAAAUAACCCAUCUGGAGUUACAAUAUCAUUACCAGGAUCUAUAUUUGCUGUUGCUCCGAAGAGUUUUAUUACUCCUUACCGAGACAUCAAUUUGCGAGACAUUCUUAGUGAGCGCCAGCUCGUUGUAUGCAAGGUCAUCUCAAAAAGAGCAUCUCUUGAUAACACAUGGAGAGUUCUAGUUUCUCUUGAUCCGGCCAACGUCAAUUCCCACAUACCUCAUUAUGCGGUUGAUGUGGGUAUGUCAUUAAUGGGAGUCGUUCAAAGUGUUGAAGACCAUGGUUAUGUGAUUGACAGUGGGAUAGCUAAUCUGCGUACAUUCUUAUCCACGAAAGCUGCUGAAAAUUGGUGUAAAACCCUCAACGAAGGAAAACCUUUAGCUGUUGGCCAGUUGAUUCGGUGUUUUGUAUCAAAACGAAGCUCAAACAAUAACGCAUCUAAUGUGGAAUUGACAACAGAACUGGAUGCUUCAAAACUAGUUAUCAAUAGUAAUGUGAACAUCUCUAACGUCUUACCUGGAAGUUUGUCAACUGUUCUGUCAAAAGGGUAAGAUUUAUCAAUGAAGAACCAACAAAUAACUGUCAAAUUGUUUCUGAUUGUAAAUCAAUGGCAAGAAUGAGAUUACAUUGAUUGAUAUUGAAUUCAGAAAACUCCUGCAGCUUGAGUAUAGAAUUUAAAAAUAAUUGCUUGCACUUGAUCACUUGUAAAGAAAAUAAAUAAUACGAGGUGUCUACAAUGAAGACUGCCGAAUAUUUUAAAAAAAAAUUCUGCAAAAAAAACAAUUUAUUAGUCAUUAUACAAAAUUUAGUCGAUAUUGACUUUUUGACCUUCAAUUUAAUCACCUUGAAGUACUGUCUGUACAGUUCAUUUUUCCAGCGCUUUUGCCACUCUUUAAACAAGUGCUUAAAAGCACCCUUUGCUAGCUGUUUGAGACUUGUUUUCAAAGAUUUUUCUACAGCAGUUUUAGAGUUAAAAUCUCCAAUUUUGGCAAAAUUAUGAUGAGAAAACGUAUAUCAUAAUGCUUAAAUUUACUCUUUGUAUAAUGGCCCAUCAUCAUUGUAUGGGCUCCUUAAAUACUUAUCAUUUUUGUUUUUUCUUCAAAUUUUAGAUUUUAUCAGAUGGAGUAAAAGUCUCAGCGCAAGGCCUGCGUUGCCCUGCUUUCGUCAAUGAUCUCCACAGGUCA
This 1323-nucleotide long non-coding RNA is filed under the name Bemisia tabaci. RNAcentral describes it as "lncRNA ENSSWEETPG011465". The record is from RNAcentral. Lineage: Eukaryota; Metazoa; Arthropoda; Insecta; Hemiptera; Aleyrodidae.